AUCAAAAAAAGACGGGAAUAAAAACAGAUUGUUGGAUAUGAUGUUGUGACCAUCACUGAAUCGUGGCUGAAGGAUGGUUGGAGUUGGGAGCUGAAUGUCCAAGGUUACUCGUUAUAUCGGAGGGACAGGAAGAGAGAGAGUCAGCCCGAG
Mobula hypostoma (lesser devil ray) is the source of this 150-nucleotide long non-coding RNA. RefSeq lists it as uncharacterized. Lineage: Eukaryota; Metazoa; Chordata; Chondrichthyes; Myliobatiformes; Myliobatidae. The transcript is spliced from 3 exons. The record is from RefSeq and is a predicted model, not a curated record.